UGUGUUUGAAUGAAACUGCAGUGCGGUGGUUCUCUUCCCUCGAUUUUCACCAAACCAAUGAAUAGGAAUACAACAGAAAACAAAAAACGAGGAAAAGCACAGUUUGUUUGAAACGGUAAACCAUGCAAGGACAAACAUUACCGUAUCCAGUAAUUCCUCGAAGUCCAUAACAAGAUGUCGUGGUACCCGACAAUGAAUAAAUAACCACAUUGUGAGAAAUUUCAGGACGUCCUUAAUUCCUUCAAGUGAAACCGAAAGUUUACUGUUCGGUGCUAGUCUUUUGAAACCUGUCAAAUCUCUUUUUCAAAUCCCCGCGAUAUUAUGGAUCCUUUCUUCGAAAGAUUAUCCAGGAAUUCAAGCCCUAAACAAACACCAAUUCCGUCGCACCAAAACCGCCAGAGAUAACUCUAUAAAACACCUAUAAAAUAUAAAACCAUCAAAUAAACAAACGCAGGCGACAAUAGCUUGAGCAAACAUGGCCCAAAGACCCUCCAACAUUUUUUAUUAUCCUUUUAUCGGGCUCUUAGCCACCGAGCGCUAAUUGUUUCGAUAAACAAGGAGCAUCAUCUGCAUAAAAGGGAAAUUUUCGGAAUUGGUCCAAGGACGUGCCCUCGUACCCUUGUUGCGGCGUAACUAAAUCGUCGGCUCCGAAGCAAAUCGCCGCUGUAUUUGACACCGGUCGUUCUUUGGAAGAACGUUAAUGGUGCCGAAGAAGGAUGGAUUCUGAAGAUGAAUUAACGUUACUUUGCGCUAAGUAAAGCAAUUUCGUAAAGUGCUUCUCAAAUGAUAACAAUAUAGCGGAACCGAUGUCUGAUUUCAUAUUGCCAGCCUUGGUUUUAAGAGUCGAAAUUUCCGAUUCGAGUCCGCCCCUGCCGCGAGGUGACAGAUUCGUGACGAGGACCCAUCUUCGAGCCGAGAUAUUUUAAUAAUAAUUCCGCAAUUGUUUGAUUCUGUCGGUUUGCCACCUGGUUAAUUCACAGUGGAAAAAACACAUUAAGUUGAUGAAUAAAAAAUAAUACCCAGAGGUGCGCAACUAGCUAACCCUCAAUCAAGCACAUAUACUACGCAGGUAAAUGUCAUGUUCGUAAUUAAUCUUUGAUUAGUUCUAACGGCUUAUUAUCAGUUACAUCUGUAAGGACAAAUUGGUCGACCUAGUUCAUUUGAGCGAGGUUAAUGAAUGCUGUAAUCUGUUCUAAGUAUAAAUGCGUAUUGAUCGGUGCUAUUUAUACCAUAUUUUAACUAAUUAAUAUUUAUAACGAAAGGGAUUACAUAUAAUGGAGGCAGCAAGGUGCAGUUCCAAAUAUACGAAAUGUUUAAUUCAGCACAAGAAAUUUCUCUGUGGAGACUGUAAUUUUAAUUUGAAUUAAAUAUGAUGCCAAACUUAAUUACAUAUGUACUUAGACGUGUUGCUGAAGAUUUACUUUUAAAUUUUAUUGUCGUGGUCAUUCGUAAAUAAACAGUUAAAUUGGGAGAAAUUGUAGUAUUGUAAUGGUUACAUUUAACAAACUAAAUUCUUCAUGUGUUUAUUGUUCAACUUGGUUGAAGUUUAGACAAAAUGCUUCCUUAUGCUUGAAAAUGUAUAUUACUUUCGUUGUUGUAUUAAGCGAAAA
Molecule: long non-coding RNA, 1610 nt
Organism: Zophobas morio
Lineage: Eukaryota; Metazoa; Arthropoda; Insecta; Coleoptera; Tenebrionidae
Exons: 4
Source: RefSeq, a predicted model, not a curated record